This 74-nucleotide transfer RNA is filed under the name Alcaligenaceae bacterium 429. RNAcentral describes it as "tRNA-Cys". It matches the Rfam family "tRNA". From Rfam's summary of the family: Transfer RNA (tRNA) molecules are approximately 80 nucleotides in length. Their secondary structure includes four short double-helical elements and three loops (D, anti-codon, and T loops). Lineage: Bacteria; Pseudomonadati; Pseudomonadota; Betaproteobacteria; Burkholderiales; Alcaligenaceae. The record is from RNAcentral. RNAcentral also lists the same sequence under 1 other name.
GGCGCGGUGGCAGAGUGACUAUGCGGUGGACUGCAAAUCCAUGUAGGUUGGUUUAAUUCCAGCCCGCGCCUCCA